CCCCCCCCCCCACUGCCCCCUGCCGCCGUGCGCCCUCCCCGGACGCCCCGUCGCAGCCCGCCCUCCCCGGACCCCCGCGCCGCCGUGCCGCCACCGGGAUCCAACCGCCGACGAGCGGCUCUCCACGACCCCCCGCCCAGUUGUGGUCGUCGCCAGAUGCCUCGCUGCUGCCGAACGCCGUCUUCCUUCCGGCAACCACGCACCGUCCGAGCGCCGCCAUGCCUUCUCGCACCAGUCUCCUCCGCCAUGCCCCUGCAGGAAGCUGGUGCCGCUGCAAGAAGUUCAAAUGUCACUGUAGCGGCCGGACGGAUUUGACACACUGUGCCUCCACGGUGCUCCCUCCCACAAAGAGGCGGUUCACGGUUGCUAGACGAUGAAUUAACCUCGCCUCUGCUGCUCCAUUUGGAUGGCAUGCCACACCCUUUCUUUUGGAGACUUCAUAUUCUAAUUUUCUUUAGGGGAAAUUGAUGUGUUGUGUUGCUCUCUGCUUGAUGUGCUAAUGACGGACGUGAGUUCGUCGCUAUCUCUGAAUCUCAGUGUGUUGUUUGCAUCGCCUAUUGCUCCCGGCGAGCUUGUCCGUCGUCGUCGUCAGACUUUCUUGCGCAUCGCAAGAGCUAUAAACACGGUUCUGUUUGUUCCAUUUGUACAACUGAACUUGUUGCCUCAGCUCUACUCGUUCAAGCGACGGGUAACUCUGAUGUUUGUUUCUACAA
Long non-coding RNA from Triticum aestivum (bread wheat), 713 nucleotides. RefSeq lists it as uncharacterized. The transcript has 2 exons. NCBI's taxonomy places the organism in Eukaryota, Viridiplantae, Streptophyta, Magnoliopsida, Poales, Poaceae. The record is from RefSeq and is a predicted model, not a curated record.